GCCCUAGUAGCUUAAACAUAAAGCAUCGGUUUUGUAAUCCGAAGACCGGGGGUUAAACUCCCCCCUAGUGCC
RNAcentral lists this transfer RNA (72 nucleotides) under Paracheirodon innesi (neon tetra). Its description in RNAcentral is "tRNA-Thr". It matches the Rfam family "tRNA". From Rfam's summary of the family: Transfer RNA (tRNA) molecules are approximately 80 nucleotides in length. Lineage: Eukaryota; Metazoa; Chordata; Actinopteri; Characiformes; Acestrorhamphidae. The record is from RNAcentral.